Molecule: ribosomal RNA, 258 nt
Filed under: uncultured bacterium
Lineage: Bacteria
Description: partial 16S ribosomal RNA
Rfam family: Bacterial small subunit ribosomal RNA
Source: RNAcentral
GUCCACACAGUAAACGAUGAAUACUCGCUGUUUGCGAUAUACCGCAAGCGGCCAAGCGAAAGCAUUAAGUAUUCCACCUGGGGAGUACGCCGGCAACGGUGAAACUCAAAGGAAUUGACGGGGGCCCCGCACAAGCGGAGGAACAUGUGGUUUAAUUCGAUGAUACGCGAGGAACCUUACCCAGGCUUAAAUUGCAGAUGAAUAUAGUGGAAACAUUAUAGCCUUCGGGCAUCUGUGAAGGUGCUGCAUGGUUGUCGU